UGAUCUAAACGAAUGAGAUUUUUUUCGUUUUGGUGUAUUAUAUUUUGAAACUUUAAAUGUAUUUUCUAGUAUUAUUUAAACAGUUAAUUUAUUUAAAUCUUAUUUAAUUUUAAAUUUGAUCAGUAAUAAAAUUAUUUUUUUAUUUAGUUAAUUUGUGGAUUGGACAGAAUUAAAAAUUUUCAGUCCGCAAACCAAUUCGCAAAAUGGUGGAUUUGAUAUGGAUUUGGUUAAAUCCGCAUCCGAUCCGCAGAUGUAUGGAUUGGAUUUGAAUUGAAUUUCACCAAUCCAUGGAUUGGAUUGGAUUGAAAAUUUAUAAUCCGUAAAAUCGUGGAUCGAAUAUGGAUUGAUGUCCAAUCCGUAAAAUCUGAUCCGCGAACACCCCUACUAACUAGCUUGUUCAUAACUAUCGCCAAUUGAUUGUUCAUUGACAUCUACUUCUUGAGAUUGUGGGUUAGUUCCAUGCUGUCCAAAAAGGGAAAAAAAAGACAUCAAUUUCAUUUAUUAAGAAAAAAGAAUCAAUCUAUUCAAUAUAAUUUCAUGAUCAAAUCAAACAUGUAUAGCUAGUCAUGUCUUAUUGGUUGCCUACACAUCACUAGGAUCACCAAGUUAUUAAUCCAUUUGAUAACAUAACAAAAAAUAUAUAACGAGAUUCAAUUACAAAAUCAGACCUGUGCAGUUGAUUAAGUGAUAUCACUUGCCUGCGCACAAAAAAAAUCACCAAGUCUUAAGCAAUUUAAUGAAAAAGAACAAAAAAAAUCCUUUAGAAUUAAACUUUCAUAAUUAGAUUAAACAUGUCCACUUGAUUAAGUCUUAUUUCUUCCUUGCACACAACCAAUAUCACCAAGUUUUAAGCAAUAUCUAGUGCAAAAGAAAAAAAAAAUCCUUUUGAAUUAAAUUUUUAUAAUUAAAUUAAACAUGUGCACUUGAUGAAGUCCUAUUGCUUCCCUACACAACAUCAUGAUCAAUAUUUGUUAACUUCACCCAAUGAAAUUUAAAAAACAAAAAUGACUCUUAUAUUAUAGCUCUAUGGUUCUUGUGAAUUUUGGAAAAUUAAGGCAGCCCCUUUUGUUGUGCCGAAGACAUCUACAAGCAUUACAUUUGAUAGUAAACCUUUUACUAGUUAGUUUGGCCUCACCAGGUUUUUUUGUUCUUUUUUUUUCGGUCUACCAACUGGAGCCUUUAUGUAAGAUGGUCCAACCUUUACAAGCACCACAACAUCUGAAGGUUCAGCUUCCACUUCAGGCCAUGCACACUCAUCAGGAAUAGGAUUUAUAGUCCCUAUGUAUGUCAUCAUAAAAGAUUCCUUGGUUAGAUAAUGAUGCACAUAAUCUUUAGGUUGCCCUCCUUUAUGAAGAAUAGCAGCUACUGCAUGUUUGCAAGGCGCUCUACUAACUUGCCACAUCCCACAGUCACAGGUACCAUCUGUAAUAUGUACUAGGAAGUUUCUAUAGCCAGCUUGACAACAUUCAAACAACUCCCCUCUACCUCCAAAGACCUUAAUUCUCCUUGUCUCAUUUGAGGAUUGAUUUAGUAUUUCUCUAGCAUAUGGGGUCAAACGGUCUUGCCAAGUUUCCCCUUACUGAUAUUUUUCCAACAUUCUCACCAUUAGUUGUCUACGAAUAUGCUCAAGAAUAGUUAGGAUAGGCUUGUCCCUAACCUCAUCCACCCACUUGUUAAAAGAUUCAGUCAUGUUGUUUGUAACAUGGUCAGAUUUCACAUGGUGAUCAAACCCGCUUCUAGACCACUGUGCAGGUGGUAUUUUUCUCAACCAUUCACAACAAUUUUGGUCUUUAGCCCUAAUUUGACUCAUUGCCCUCUCAAAGUCAUACUGAUUUGCAUCCCUACAAGCUUUCCAGAUUAACCCCAUGACAUUCAAACCAGAAAACUUACACUUCAAAUUUGCAAAGAUAUGCCUAGCACAAUAUGUAGUACUAGCAUUAGGCCAAUAUUUUUCCAAUCCCCAUAAAAGACCUUUUUGUCUAUCACUAAUAAUAGUCACAAGCUUAUGAUUAUCAGCCCCAAUGAAUUCAUACAGCAAAGAUAAAAAAUAACCCCAACUAUCAUAGUUCUCUACCUCACAUAUGCAAAAAGCCAAUGGAAAAAUUCCACUAUCAGUAUCUAAUGCAACAACAGAUAACAAUACUCCCCUGUAUGGCCCCUUCAAGUGACACCCAUCCAAUCCUAUGAAAGGUCUACACCCAGUUAGGUACCCCACUUUAAGUGUAGGAAAUGACAAAAAAAAAAAAAAUCUUUGAAAAACUGGGCUAUUUGACAAUGGCCUAUCAACCUUUACCUUGACACAAGCACCUUUAUUCAUGUUCAGUAGAAUGUGAGCAUAUUUCAAAAGCUUUCUAUAGCAAGCAAUGUGGUCAGCACCUAGGUUUUUUAAUGCAAUUUUUUUUCCUUGUAUAGUUUUUGUUUGUCACAUUCAAUCCCAUGUUUAUCUUUUAACUCGCUCCUUAUGACAUUUACACCAACUCCUGGGUUAGCUUGAAUAAGUUCAGCACAAACUUUAGCCAUCCAAGGUGCUAUUGCAUCUUUGUUAACUAAUUUAAUCUGGCAAUCAUGUUUCCCUUUAAUAUACCUAAUUUUAAAAGUUAUCCCAUCAACCAUCGAUGAAGCAUGAAGUUUCCAAGUGCAUUUUGGAUUGACACAACAACAAGUAUACCUAAUACCAUCAUUUUUAAUCCUAUUUAACUCAAAACCCUCUUGGAUUGCAUAUUUCACCAUAACCUCACUUAAUAAUGCAACAGAUUCAAAGGUAUUUCCUACUUUUAGACUAACUGAACCAUUUAGAUUUGGUUUCCACUCAUUAUCAAUAAUGGAUUCAUACAUAUGUGAGAAAUCAUUCUCUUCAUCGGAUGAGUGGGACAACUAUUGGUAAAGAACUCCUCAAAAACCGAAUACAAUUCACUAUCAUUUGAAAUUAGCUUCCUCUGCCUACUUGUAGUCCAUGACAACAUAACAGAAAUUUCAAUCAAAUCCAUUUCAUUGUGUCCAUACUUAACCAUGACUUCUAAAAUUUCAUGAAACAACCUAAUAAUCUUAUAUUCCUCUGGGUCCCUAUAUCCUAUCUCAUACACCUCCCCAUUAAUUUUAACCAACAAAAAAAAGGUAACAUGGCUACCUGCAUCAAUUUUAAACAAAAAGUAUUGCAUAAAAAACUGGCUAAACUAAUACGAUUUUAUUUAGUAAAGAAUAAAAACUCAACCUAAAUGAAAUAUACAUGUAAUUCGGUUAAAAAAAGUACAAAAGCAAAUUUAAUCUAAUACAUAUAAAAAUAAAAACUGAAAAGAAAAAAUAACCCAGCAACUAUAGAGAAUUUAGUCUAAUAUAUAUAUAAAUUACCACUCAUAAUAACACAUAGAAUUCAAUUUUACAUGAACAAAAAAGCAAAUACAAUGAAUUCAAUCUUAUUAAUAUAACGAUACCAAUUGGUUGAAAUGAAAAUAUUGUACAUAUACAACAACUCAACAUAAGUUCAAUAAAUACAUAUAUAAAUAUGGUGUAUUUGUUCUAAUUAUUAUAUAAAGAGCAAAUUAAAAAAAAGUAUAUUAAAUACAACAUUCAAUAAAAAAAAUCCACCAAUAAUUAAACAUAGUUUGUCAUUUAGAAAAAUAGACUUGAAAAACCUAAUUUUUCACAAAGAUCACUAAAUAUGAAAACAAUUUUAUCAGAAAAUACUUGCAAAAAUCACUUAAAAAUUAGAGUUACUAACCUUUAAGCUCGGCUUCUCUCCAAUACUUGAACUCAACCAAUUCUAACAAAGCUUUGGUCAAAAUUACAGUAUAUUUAUACAAUAUUUUUGGCGUCAUCCCACGUUCUCUCAAUCCCUCCUCUCACACGAAGAAUACAGCAGUUUCUUCUUGAGGUUUUUUUUUUUUCCGCUUGAAAGAACUUUAACUUGGUUAGGUGAAUUGACUUUGCUUUAAACUAUUGCCACCUGUAAGCAAACUAUCUCCACCUGUCAAAAAUAAAAGAAUGAGGAAGGGUUCAAUUGUUCUUUUACUAAACUACCCUCAACGUUGUUAAUAUGUCUAAUUGACGAGUUAAGUUAAGGACUUGAAUGACAUUAGUUUAUACUUGAAAGGAUUUAAUUGAUUCAUUUAGUAAACUUCUGGUCUCUGAAUUUUUUUCUAAAAAUAAUGAGGACUCAAUUAGAAAUUACCCUUUAACUAAUGUUAAAAUUAUAAUAUUUUCUACUCACAUAUACAAAUAAAAUUAUAUUUAGCGCCUUACAAUCUUUUUAUUUAUUAUUUUUCAUAAGUAUUAAAGUAUUUAUUUGUUAGUAUCCAAGAUAUAUUAAUCAACACAAAACACUAAUAUAAAUAAAAAGACAACAAUACCCUUAAAUCUCUCUUCUUCCCACCGUUGUCUCCAUCAUCAUUACACCCACCUUCAUCUUCCUCCAUCAUUAUCAUCUUCACCUACAUCUUCACAGUUUUUAAGAAGAAGAAGAAAAUAUUAUUAUGCUUUCAGAUCCAAAAUCGGCAAAACCCAUAAAAAGAAAAAGAAAAAGAAAAAGAAAAAGAAGAUGAUGAUAAUAUUUUGUCUUCGGAACCAAAAUCAACAAAAUCCCUAAAAAGAAGAAGAAGAAGAUAUUUUUUUUUUUCAAUCUAAAAUCGGCAAAAUCCAAAAAAAAAAAAAUGAUCUUGAGGUUCAAACUAACAUUAAUAAACCCACUUCAUACUUCUUAAAAUAAAUAAUUUCCAACCUCAAAAAAGCUGCACUAUAAAAGACCUAGCUUUAUUCCAAAACCUACCCAUCAAAUUCCACUUAUCCAAUCUCUUUCUCCCUGCUUCAACAACAACUUCAGCAAGCAAAGUCCAUUGUUGCCGCGCCUUUUCAUGAGCAUAAAAGUACUUGAACUCUGCACCUUAUCUAUUUUCUUCAACAUUUUUCAGGAAGGGUAAUUUUGUCCUUCUAAGACUUAUAAACAAAUUGUAAAUGAAAAGAGUACAAGAUGCUCAAGUAAAUUUGACAAUAGUUAAAUCAUAAAAGACAAAAGUUGGGGUACGGUAUAACAAUUGCAGCAUAGGCGGAUCCUAAAGUAUGAUGGCAAUAUUCCCACGGCGGCUCAUACCCAUCGGGCCCCAAUCAAUUUGGGUUCGGUAUAGGC
RNAcentral lists this long non-coding RNA (5119 nucleotides) under Citrus sinensis (sweet orange). RNAcentral's name for it is "long non-coding RNA (CSIN_LNC000817)". Lineage: Eukaryota; Viridiplantae; Streptophyta; Magnoliopsida; Sapindales; Rutaceae. The record is from RNAcentral.